UACAGAGGUCUCAAGCGUUGUUCGGAUUCAUUGGGCGUAAAGGGUGCGUAGGCGGCGCUGUAAGUCGGGUGUGAAAUCUUGGAGCUUAACUCCGAAACUCCAUUCGAUACUGCCGUGCUUGAGGACUGGAGAGGAGACUGGAAUUUACGGUGUAGCGGUGAAAUGCGUAGAUAUCGUAAGGAAGACCAGUGGCGAAGGCGGGUCUCUGGACAGUUCCUGACGCUGAGGCACGAAGGCCAGGGGAGCAAACGGG
Molecule: ribosomal RNA, 253 nt
Filed under: uncultured bacterium
Lineage: Bacteria
Description: partial 16S ribosomal RNA
Rfam family: Bacterial small subunit ribosomal RNA
Source: RNAcentral